CUCGUGCGUUAUCUCUUGGUUUGAGCUGUUGCUGGCCUCUUUAUAAGAGGCAUUGUGCACGCCCCACCACUGUUUACAACCACCUGUGCACCUCAUGUAUAGACUCUGAAUUCCUGGUGUUGCUGCGCUGCCCAAGCCAGCCUUCCCUGAAUUUCCGGGUCUAUGCGUUUUUAUUAUACCCUGUAAUGAAUGUAUCAGAGUGUUUUGUUAUUGGCCUUUGGUGCCUUUAAUCAAAUACAACUUUCAGCAACGGAUCUCUUGGCUCUCGCAUCGAUGAAGAACGCAGCGAAAUGCGAUAAGUAAUGUGAAUUGCAGAAUUCAGUGAAUCAUCGAACCUUUGAACGCACCUUGCGCUCCUUGGAAUUCUGAGGAGCAUGCCUGUUUGAGUGUCAUUAAAUUCUCAACCUAACCAGCUUUUGCGAGCUUGGUUAGGCUUGGACUGUGGGGGCUUUUGCGGGCUUCACUUUGAAGUCAGCUCCCCUAAAAUGCAUUAGUGGAAACCCUUUGUUGACCUGUUCCUGGUGUGAUAAUUAUCUACAUCGCGUGCAGUCGGCUGUUUAAUGGGCUUUUUCUGCUUCUA
RNAcentral lists this ribosomal RNA (580 nucleotides) under uncultured Termitomyces. RNAcentral describes it as "eukaryotic LSU rRNA". The stretch from base 239 to 392 matches the Rfam family "5.8S ribosomal RNA". Lineage: Eukaryota; Fungi; Basidiomycota; Agaricomycetes; Agaricales; Lyophyllaceae. The record is from RNAcentral.